Molecule: ribosomal RNA, 465 nt
Filed under: uncultured Methanosaeta sp.
Lineage: Archaea; Methanobacteriati; Methanobacteriota; Methanomicrobia; Methanotrichales; Methanotrichaceae
Description: bacterial SSU rRNA
Rfam family: Archaeal small subunit ribosomal RNA
Source: RNAcentral
CACCACGAACGGGUGGAGUCUUGCGGUUUUAAUUGGAUUCAACGCCGGAAAUCUUACCGGGACCGACAGCAAUAUGAAGGCCAGGCUGAAGACUUUGCCGGAUUAGCUGAGAGGUGGUGCAUGGCCGUCGUCAGUUCGUACUGUGAAGCAUCCUGUUAAGUCAGGCAACGAGCGAGACCCACGCCCACAGUUGCCAGCGUACUCUCUGGAGUGACGGGUACACUGUGGGGACCGCCGCUGCUAAAGCGGAGGAAGGAAUGGGCAACGGUAGGUCAGUAUGCCCCGAAUAUCCCGGGCUACACGCGAGCUACAAUGGUUGGUACAAUGGGUAUCUACCCCGAAAGGGGACGGGAAUCUCCUAAAACCAAUCUUAGUUCGGAUUGAGGGCUGCAACUCGCCCUCAUGAAGCUGGAAUCCGUAGUAAUCGCGUUUCAACAGAACGCGGUGAAUACGUCCCUGCUCCUU